AGUGAGGAAUCUUCCACAAUGGACGAAAGUCUGAUGGAGCGACACCGCGUGAAGGAUGAAGGCCUAACGGUUGUAAACUUCUUUUCUGAAGGAGCAUAAUGAGAGUACUUCAGGAAUAAGGGACGGCUAAAUACGUGCCAGCAGCCGCGGUAAUACGUAUGUCUCGAGCGUUACCCGGAAUCACUGGGUGUAAAGGGUUCGUAGGUGGUUUAGAAAGUUGGAUAUUAAAGACCGGAGCUCAACUCCGUGUUUGUCUUCAAAACUCCUAAACUAGAAUCAGGGAGAGGUAAGUGGAAUUCUGUGUGUAGGGGUGCAAUCCGUAGAUACACAGAGGAACACCAAAAGCGAAGGCAACUUACUGGAACUGUAUUGACACUGAGGAACGAAAGCGUGGGUAGCGAAAAGGAUUAGAUACCCUUGUAGUCCACGCCCUAAACGAUGAUAACUAAGUGUUGCGACUAGCUCGCAGUGCUGAAGCUAACGCGAUAAGUUAUCCACCUGAGGAGUACGGUCGCAAGAUUAAAACUCAAAGGAAUAGACGGGGACCCACACAAGCAGUGGAUCACGUGGUUUAAUUCGACAAUAAACGGGGAACCUUACCCAGACUUGACAUCUACCGAAUCUUUCAGAAAUGAGAGAGUGCUUUUAUUAGAGCGGUAUGACAGGUGCUGCAUGGUUGUCGUCAGCUCGUGCCUUGAGGUGUUCGGUUAAGUCCGUUAACGAGCGCAACCCAUGUCGUUAGUUAUUAUGUCUAACGAGACUGCCUUGGAUAACAAGGAGGAAGGUGUGGAUGACGUCAAAUCAGCAUGGCUUUUACGUCUGGGGCUACACACAUGAUACAAUGGUACGUACAAAGAGCAGCAAUACGGCGACGUUGAGCUAAUCUUAAAAGCGUAUCUUAGUCCGGAUUGGAGUCUGAAACUCGACUCCAUGAAGUUGGAAUUGCUAGUAAUCGUGAAUCAGAUAUGUCACGGUGAAUAUGU
RNAcentral lists this ribosomal RNA (983 nucleotides) under uncultured bacterium. RNAcentral describes it as "bacterial SSU rRNA". It matches the Rfam family "Bacterial small subunit ribosomal RNA", at positions 353 to 1371 of the family's 1533-position model. The record is from RNAcentral.